Molecule: long non-coding RNA, 21848 nt
Filed under: Coffea arabica (coffee)
Lineage: Eukaryota; Viridiplantae; Streptophyta; Magnoliopsida; Gentianales; Rubiaceae
Description: long non-coding RNA (CARA_LNC000660)
Source: RNAcentral
AAUGAAGAAUCGUAGAAGAGGAAGAUGAUCAGGAAGAGCCAAAACGAAUUCCUCUUCCUCGAUUGAUGUUCUAACAAUUGGCGAUUUCAUUUCUGAAUGCAGAUAAAAUGAUAGUAGCAGUGAAAAUACUGCUACUUUAGUUCUGUAAACAAUGGUUUCUUUGGCCUUAGAUUCCACUAUCCUCCCAAGAACAAGUUGUAGAAGAAGAAUCUUGAGCAGAAGUUUUAGUAGUAGUAUUAGUACGAGAACUAGUGGGAUUUCUCCUCCUGUUAUUGGUUUCAAGAGUAUCAGUAUCAGAGCCUUUCCCUACAAACCUUUGAUUGCUGCAGCUGCUGCUGCUUCAGAUAAUAAUCAAGAAGCAGAAGUAGAAGAAGAACAAGCAUCAAGAAGAAUUGUUCUGGACAGCCUCAGAGUCCUUGAGUGGGAUAAACUAUGUGACUCUGUAGCUUCUUUUGCUGGUACUUGUUUAGGCAAACAGGCCACCAAGGUAUUUCUAAUUUCUUGGAUUUCUUUCCAAUUUCCUAUCAGUACUACUGAUUGUGAUUCUUGGACCCUUUUCAUCCUUGAAUGAAUUUUUUUACCUCAUUGGAUGCAGGAGCAAUUGUGGUCAUUGAACAAAACGUAUGAGGAUAGUGUAAGGCUUCUUCAAGAGACAAAUGCGGUAGUGGAGAUGCACAAGUAUGGUGCCAUGCUGGACUUUGUUGGCAUUGACACUGCCCUUGUAAGUUUAACCGAUCAUUGUUAUUGUAGAUGCGGUAGAGAUUUUUUUAGUUUAAUUUUAUUUUGCAAUUAGACAAAAUUCUAGAAAUUCUUUGUGGGGUAUUUAUUCUGAAUAAGAAACAACUGAUACUUCUUUGGAGGCGUUGUUUUAGUAACUAAAAGCUACCAGUAAUGGUACACUAACCAGGCUAGUAUGAUUUUUGGAUGAAGGUCAAAUCGGCUAUACAAUGUGCAAAGAGAGAUUCCCCUGUUACUGGAAGUGAAGCUAUGGCCCUUGUUGCUCUCUUACAGUUUGCAGAGGCGUUGCAGUUUAAUCUGAAAGCUGCUGUUAAACAAGAUGCCGACUGGUAUCAGCGUUUCAUGCCUCUUUCUGAAAAGGUACAAUCUUCUUAGUUGAUUGUUGCAUCCCACUUUUGUGUACCUUUCAUUCUUAUUUAUUUAUUUAUAAUUGUUUUUUGUUGUCCACCCCAUUGACUUCCAGAUUUCAGAACUUGUUAUAAGUAGACCACUGAUAAGGUUCAUACAGCAACUUGUAGAUGAAGAUGGCUCUGUUAAGGAUUCUGCGGUAUUUUUUUGUUUUUGGUUUAACUCGAUUAUUCAAGCUUGUCACCACUUUUUGUUUCUUAUUGUUUGAUAAAUUUCAGUCUUUGUGUUUGGUAGAAGGGAGUUCUUAAUAGGUAUUCUAGGUUUUCAUGAUUAUUUAGUUCUUAAUAGGUAUUCUAGCUUUACAUGAUUAUUUACCCAGCUUCCCAUUCCUCCCAGUAUCUAUGAGCAUUUUGUUUUUUUGGCUUCUUGCAGCAACUGCAUUGAUAUUUCUUUAUCUUCUUAUAGUUUUACUUGUUUUCCAUCUCAGAGUUCUGCUUUGAAACAAUCCCGGGAGCAAGUACGCUUUAUUGAAAGAAAGGUACAUUGUAUUUGAAUGCCUGUGCUGAUUGACACUAUCAUGUUCCUAGCUCAUCCGCAUACACUUUAGUCAACAAACUUUUUACUUCAUUUUUCACUGAAUUCUCUAGCAGCUCCAUUUAGAAGAUAGUCUAUUAAAGACUGUAGUCCAACAGAAUACUACAGUUUACUCCAAACUUCAUAGAAGGGCCCUUGUGUACUUUUAUAUGUCAUUUGUGAACAUUCUUUUGAACAAAUAUCACUCUAUGGCCAGCUGACCUCGACAUGAGCUAUUGUUUCUCAUCUACCAAGAACUGUUGAUUCUACUCUAAGAAAUUGAUCUAGUGGGCAACCGGCAGAAAAAAAAAUUGCUGUUAGGUGAAGGCAGUAGACUAAAGUUUUUUGGCUUGACACAAAUGCACCUAAGAAUGUAGCUUCAUCUGUCCAUGUUAUCCAGGGAAUUACCCAGUCUUCCUUAAUACAAAGGACUGGUUACAUCAGUUUCCUUGAUGAAUGGUUAGUCUUUGAACAAGUCUAUCUGUCAAUUUUUUGUUUCCAUUUGUUUCUUCCUAUUGGACUUAAUAACUAGCAGAGAGUACCGCAGUAGGGUCAAAACCUCAAGGUCGUUGUUUUCAGACCGACCCCUUGGUCUACCAUCUAAAUCUAGCUGAAUUCCAUUUUGAAAUGUCAAAGAAGAUCUAUCAGUACGUAUGAUACAAGGUUGUGUAGCUUAUAAUUUUUCUUUUAUUUUUGUUCGGAGUACAUCUUUACAUUUUCUAGAUGCUGCUGCAUCCCUUUUCUUGGUGGAAUAGUUGGCUUUGCUUCUUUUAUACAAAGGACAGUUAGCAGUUCAAUGCCCACAGCAUACAUUAUAUGUGAAGUUGGUUGUGUGUGUUAACUCUGCCUUAGAAUUUGUCCUUGUCCAGAUUUGCUUUCUGAUCUUUGCACCUUCUUAUCAGUUAUACCAGUUGAUGGAAAGCUUCAUCAGGAAUGAAAUGAAAGAAACAUCCUCUUUGGUGAGCUCCUUUGUUAGAUAUUUUAUAUUAUUGCACAUAAAUGAAAAUUGGAUAUGCUAUGACCUUUCCGGUUAACUUUUGUGAUGAUUUAGGUAGUGAGCAGUGUUGAUGGCAGAUGGUGCAUAACUUCAGGCACCAAAAUUCAAUCAUAUGUCAAGGGGCUACUGUUGUCAAGGUGCAUUGUAGAUCUUGCAGGCUUUUAUUAUCUUUUGCUUAUACUAAAGAUCUCCGCUGAUUAGAUUCUGCAUAUCAUUGUUUGUUUUUCUGUAUCAUGCUGUUGAACAAUAACAGAAUUGUGACUGCAGCAGCUGCACUUGGAAUACAAAAUAAAAUGAGACUGUCAGGAUCUCAUCUAAUAUCUUACACUGUUCACUUAUCCCUUAGGAUAAUUAUAGCCAUGUUAUUAAUUUUGGGUUGCUUUUAGAAGCGUGAAGAUAGGAAUCAAAUGCCAGUUGUAUUCUGUUCUUCAGUUUACCCAAAUCUAAAGUUAAUUUGACGUGUGGUGUUAAAAUAUCAUUUAACUAAAGAGUGCUACCUAAGGUUCUUGGUAUGCAGAAUGGCAUCAGCAUGAAUGAAAAAGUCAUUUAUUAUUUUUCCCAAGUGGAUAAGAGAUUUUUUUGGUACUGCUUCACAAUACCUUAUGUUUUAUCUUGAGAGCUUAUGCUCUAUUGUAGUGGUUCAGGUGCAGGUAGCAUUCUAGAACCCCUUUCUGCUGUCCCACUUAAUGACCAGUUGCAACAAGCAAGGGCAUCUGUUGCUAAGGCUGAAGCUGAUGUGCUUUUAAAGAUAACAAAGAAGGUUUUAAUUUAUUCCAAAUAAAGUUCCAGAAUUGCAAUGUCAAGUUCUUAAAGUAGAAGUGAGUAUAUUCUAAUAGUUUCCUUUGUUAAACAGAUGCAAAUGGAUCUUAAUGAGAUUGAAAUCGUGUUCGAUGAUAUGAUUGAACUAGAUGUGGUAAGUAUUUUUGAUGAAAACUAUGUUUCCAUAAUUAAUUUAAUUUGGGAUGGAGGGGAUUAUAUUGUUGAUGCACAAAAAUGGACUUCAGAAUUGUUGGGCUCUGAGAGAGCCAAACUCGGGGAGAAUUUAACCAUGAGCUAGAAUGGGAACCACAACCAUGGGCUUGACACCACAUCCAACCCAAAACCUUAAGGCAUUGGGUCUAUGGAUCAUUCCCACUUAUAUGUUCCUCAUUCUACUCAUCUCUUUCCAAUGUAGGAUAUUGAUUCACACUUGAUAUCCCAACAAUCUCCCCCUCAAUUGUGAAUCUCUUCCACAUCGGACCUCUCUCCCUAGGCCAUCCACUCCAUCAAGCCCACUUCAAUCUGGAGUGUACGAUUCUUGCUCAAGAGCCCACAUGCCCUUGCCUCACUGCAGGUCUGCAUGAUUUUUUUUUUCCUGCUCUUAUUCAAGCCACACCUUACCACUCCCACUGGCUUUUUUUUAUCCUGGAGUCACUGCCCAGCCGAACCAUCGGCUCUGAUACCACUUGUUGGGCUCUGAGAGAGCCAAACUCGGGGAGAAUUUAACCAUGAGCUAGAAUGGGAACCACAACCAUGGGUUUGACACCACAUCCAACCCAAAACCUUAAGGCAUUGGGUCUAUGGAUCAUUCCCACUUAUAUGUUCCUCAUUCUACUCAUCUCUUUCCAAUGUGGGAUAUUGAUUCACACUUGAUAUCCCAACAAGAAUAACUCUAAAAAUGGGCUAAAGUAUUGCCUUUCUUGUGAAUUUAUUGAUGGUAGUUGUGGUGAUAUUCUGAUCUCCAUUUAUCUCGUACUUUUCCUUUAGGGUUAUAGAUAGGUCAUAUUCUGUUGUGCAUGAGAAGGGGAAGCAUAUGGGCAAACACUUUUCUGUGCACUAUUUUGUUUGCUUUUGGUUAAUCAAGGUCCAGAAUUUUGCUGAUACAGGGACAACUUUUCAUUUAUUUGUAUUUUCCUAAUUAUAUAUAUAAAACUCGAGUCAUUUUGAUCUUGGGGUUUGUUUAACGUUAUUUCUAUCAUAUUUCUUGGGAGAGUGAUUGCGUAUUUGACUGCAUAAAUGAAUUGUCAAUGGCAAUGGCAAUGAAUAUCAUAGCCCCCUUAAUAAUAAUGGUUUUGUGAAGAUUUCUUCUUGUGAAAUCUCAUGUUUGGUAGGUAGGGUGGAAUAAGAAUGACUUUUCCAUUUUUAAUUUAUUUCAGCCUCAUCAGCUUUUCUAUUUACUCUCAUUUUCUUUUUCUUUAUUUUUUUCCCUUCCUUUUUCUUCAUCUCAUGCCCACUGCCACCUCCAACUCUCUCCACCGCAUAAUAUGACAAUCAAACUUGUGCUACAACUUCAGAUGUUAAAACCAAACGCAAAAAAUUGCACCUUCUAAUUUGUCCAGAAAAGAAAUCCUGAUCACGCCCAGAACUUCUUUGGUGCCAUGAGAUAGAUUUAUAAUUUUUUCUGAGUAAAAACCCACUUCUGAUUUUGCUAAUUUCUCCUGUUCUGCAAAGUGUGAAUCAAUCAAAAUUUGCUCCAAAUCCGAGAAUAUAUGAACAAAGACAACUGUAAACCAUCUUCCACAAUGAAGGAAAGCAGAGAGAGAUCAGGAUGAAGCAGAUUGGAAUGUGAAAACAGAAGAGAGGGGCCAUGCUCUUCCUUUCCAUAUUUUUUCAACUUGAAUUUUUGUUUAUUUCUACUUUCUUUUAAAAGGUGGGUAAUGAGAGCUGAUAUUGCCCAAUUUAGUGGGUUUUGGGGGCUGGAAGACCCAGAAGUGGAUGAUGCAAAAUCCCAUAGUAGUAUACUGAGCAUAACCAGUGGGCAUCAUUACCUGUCAGUCAUUCCCAUUGAGGAGUGCAAAACCUCCCAACCAAGUGGGUGUUUCUUAUAGAUGCUUGGAUAUGGCAAUGCUAUUUAAUCAGCAUUCUGGUUUCCAUUUGCCUUAAAAUGUUGUAAUUUUCUGAACAGAUAAAUGCCAGAGCACGAUAUAGUCUAUCAUUUGGGGGCUCAUUUCCUGAUAUAUUUUUGCCACAAGCCGAGGAUGGUUGCCGUCCAUCUGCUGUUUUGUCAAAGGCAACUACUUCAGUGGUUUCUCAUCCAACCCAGAAGAAUUGGACUUUGUAUCUUCCGAAAGCUUAUCAUCCUCUCCUCAUUCAGCAGCAUCGGCAGAGACUAAUGAAGGCCAAGAAGGAUGUCAAUGAUGCUGUUGCUGUAAGUCGUGAGUUAAACUUUCUACUGCUACCUUGUUUUUCCUAUGGUAUUAAGUUUAUGGCUGAAUCUAUACAGACUCCAAUAUCCUUCUGUUUAUGCAUACCAAGUGAUGUAUUUGCAUAUGAAUCUGUUUGGCUCAUGUUAUUCUUCAUAAAAUUUUAUCCUCUUCUUGGAAUUUGGUUGGAGGAGAGGAUGGUGAUUUUUACUUGAGGAUUGUUUUCUCAACUCCAACUUUUGGGUAUAUAUUGAAUUUAUGUAAUUUCCUUUUUCAUCAAAUGAACUUGAUGUUUUUUGACUCCAGGAAAUCAGGAGGAGAAAACAAGGAGGAAGCAUGGUGGGAAAGAAAGAAACAGAUUUAUGUAUUUCAUCCUUGGAACAGGAGGUUAUAUUUUAGGACUAAAAUCGAUCUUUCAUUUUAACUUCAUGUUUCAGUAAAGUUGAUACUUCAUAAUUUUGAACCUGGAUUUUUUUUUUGGGUGAAGUCAGGUUGCUGAGUUACAAGAAGCUGGUCCAGUUCCUAGUGAUGUAUUUAUUGCUAGAAAUACUAGAGUUGUUGUAAUAACAGGCCCCAAUACUGGAGGCAAAACUAUUUGCUUGAAGACUGUUGCCUUGGCUGCCAUGAUGGCAAAAUCAGGUGAACUGUAGCAUUUUAAUCUUGAAUUGUCAGAAUUUUUCUUGCACACAAAGUGUAUCUAGCUUUUCUGAACAUAUUGUUCAAUUCACUACAUGAUCUAGGUAUCUAAGACUCACUGAAGGUAUUGUUUUUUCUACUUUACUCUCCAAGUAAAUGUUGUACAGAUUUCUUUGCAGUCUAGAUGAAAAGUUUAAGCUAUUAAAGUCAUAGGCAGGAGAGCAAUAUCAAAAGAGUAAGGUAGGCAUGAGUCUUGGCUUCCCUAUGUUAAAACUCUAUGACCAGUGAAAUCUGACAACUAAUUUCGUUCAAGAAUAAAUCUUAACUUCCCUGUGUGAGGAAAUGGAGAAAAGUUAAUGAAUUCUAUGAAGACAAUCAUUUUCUCAAGCUAGCGUUCCUUGUUUUAUCAUUUAAUUAGAUUUUUAAUAAAAUUUUUACCAGCAAUCUCUUUGUAUUCUGCUUCUUGAAACUAUCUAAUCAUAAAAGAUGGUGCGAUCAAUGAUACUGUUAUUGCUAAUAGCAGAUGAUACGAGUCAAAUAUUGAUACUGAACACAUGACCUAAUAGGUUUAUAACUGAGCUGAUUGAUGGGCGGUUGAGAUAUGAUUUGGGUGCCUUAGUACAUUUAUCUAUAUCUGGUCAGAGCAAUUUGAAGUUUUCCCGUAACAAGUAAAUUACAGGAAAAUAGAAAAGGUUAUUUUGAAAGAAUGGGAAGAACAGAUAACGACGCGAAUAGUGUUGUACUGUGGUUUAACUUUCUGUCAAAAAUUUUAGGUAUGAUGUUCUACAUUUGCUUGUCUCUCUUUGGAGCAUGUCAUGGAGCUAUUAGGAGGGUACCCUAUUAUUAAUGAAAUCUCUGCUUUAAUUCUGUUUUUGCAGGUAUAUAUGUGUUAGCUUCUGAACCAGUAAAGAUCCCUUGGUUUGAUUUUGUCUUUGCGGAUAUUGGUGAUGAACAGUCCUUGUCUCAGUCUCUGUCUACCUUCUCUGGCCAUGUGAAGCAAAUUAGUGUAAGUUGGUUGUUGUUAAGGAUUUUGCACUUUGAACAUGGCUUUUAUAUAUUGUUUUCGUUUCCUUGCUAUCAAAAGGAAUUUAAGGUGCACACGUGGAAUUUCAUUUUGUUAGUAGUUACAAAAUGUCUCCUGUUGCAAAAAGGCUCGAUAUCCCAAUCAUCUUUAGGUAACUUAAGAACCUCUCAUGAAAGAUACAAUCUCCAAUUUUGUGAGUUAUUUCCCCCCAAGUUGUAGUUAAGAUGACAGAGUAUCUUGAAGUCCAUUUCUCAUGCAGUAAAGCUAAAUGUCAUACAUGUUGUAUAUUUGGCUUGCAUGAGGAGUUUUUUGGUAGGUGUUGAUGACCAUAACAAAUCUAAAACUAUAUCUCAUUUUACUUGACAAACAUAGAAAUAUCCCCAACCUCAAAAGACAAUCAAGUGGAUUGAAUAAAUAGUGUGUUUAGUAUAUGCCUUUUUGGAUAAGUAAUGGGUAAACAUCAAUAAUCAGUUGCUGUUUAUCAAUUUAUGAGUAAGUAAAUGUGCAAUAGUGCAUAGUUCGUUUGUUAGGACUGAGCCAGGAAAUAGACAAAUCCAAGUUAGGACAAAGUAGGCGGUAUAACCGACCAUAUAAUAGAUAGGCGGUAGAUACCAGCCAUAUAAUAAUUAGGCGGUAAAACCGACCAUAUAAAGACGGAUAACAAAGCAAAUAAAAGACACAGAAGAUUUACGUGGUUCGGUCAAAUUGACCUACGUCCACGGGCGAGUGAGGAGCAAUAUUUCUACUAUGAAAAAGAAAUACAAAAGACCGUAGGAAAGUGUUUCCUAGGCCAAUAGGCACUUACAAAAGAGUAGAAAAUAUUCCUAAACUCAAAACAAGAGAGCCUAAAAUAUUUGACUGAAUGGGCUAGAUGACUCAAGAAGCUAAUAGCCCAUAUAACUCUCUUGAGUGGUGCGAGUUUAUUCCUUCAUCAGGCUCCCUUAUUUAUAGGAAACCAAAGGAAGAAUUCCUUUGGCUUCUACCGAUGUGGGACGAAGCACCAAAAGCAUUUGGUCAACAAAUGCGGCUUCAACAAAUCUCCACCUUGAUGAGUCCCCAACAUCGAGAGAUUAUAAACUUGCUCCACCUUCUUCAUAUAAGCCCCAAUGGGCUUAAAUCACCAAUAACGAACACCAACCAAGUCCAAGCACUGCUUGAACUUGUAAUUUGGAAGAGGUUUCGUAAACAUAUCGGCUGGAUUGUCCUUAGUAUUGAUUUUCUGAAUAAGGACUUUUCCCUCAGCAAUGAUAUCCCGAAUGAAGUGAUACUUCACAUCAAUGUGUUUCGUUCUCUCAUGAUACAUCUGAUCUUUAGUCAAGUGUAUGGCACUUUGACUAUCACAGUGAAUAUCAAUAACACCUUGAUAUAGACUUAGCUCGUUAAAUAAACUCUUCAACCACAAGGCUUCUUUGAUUGCCUCGGUCACAGCCAUAUAUUCUGCUUCAGUAGUAGACAAAGUUACGACAGGUUGUAGAGUAGCUUUCCAACUAACAGCACAACCGCCAAUGCAAAAUACAUAGUCUGAAAGUGAUCUUCUCCUGUCAAGAUCCCCAGCGUAGUUUGAGUCUACAAAACCAACCAAAGUGUUAUUAUUUCUUCCAAACUCCAAACAUGUAUUUGAAGUACCUCGCAAGUAUUUGAGAAUCCACUUCACAGCUUGCCAAUGUGCUUUACCAGGGCAAAACAUAUAUCUGCUAACAACACUGACUGCUUGUGCAAUAUCUGGACGAGUACAAACCAUUGCAUACAUAACACUGCCGACUGCACUGGAAUAAGGAACCCGUGUCAUAUAAUCUUCCUCUUCAUCUGAUUUUGGUGAUUGAGCAGCAGAUAGCCGAAAAUGGCUAGCAAGAGGAGUAGAUACUGGUUUAGCAUCUUUCAUGCCAAAACGCUCCAAAACUUUCUCAAGGUAAUUUUUCUGGGUCAAGAACAAUUUCCCUACUCCUCGAUCUCGCUUGAUAUCCAUGCCAAGAAUUUUCUUAGCUGCUCCCAAAUCUUUCAUUUCAAAUUCACUAUUUAACUGCAGUUUCAAAGUGUGAAUUUCUGACAAAUUCUUGGCAGCAAUGAGCAUGUCAUCAACAUAAAGCAGCAAAUAAAUGAAAGAACCAUCAUUUAACUUCCGGAAGUAAACACAACUAUCAUACAUGCUCCUAAAAUAACCAUGACCCAACAUAAAGGAAUCAAAUCUUUUAUACCAUUGUCUUGGAGACUGCUUUAAUCCAUAUAAGGAUUUCUUCAAUAAGCAAACAUGGUCUUCCUUACCUUCAAUUUUAAAACCCUGGGGUUGUUUCAUAUAAAUUUGUUCUUCAAGUUCGCCAUGUAAGAAAGCUGUCUUAACGUCGAGUUGUUCUAAUUCCAAAUUAUACAUGGCAACUAAAGCAAGCAAAACACGAAUAGAGCUAUGUUUAACAACAGGUGAGAAUAUAUCAUUAAAAUCAACACCUUGUACCUGACUAUAGCCCUUUGCAACCAAUCGUGCUUUAUAUCUUGCAUCUUCAACCCCUGGAAUACCUUCCUUUUUCUUGAAGACCCACUUGCAACCAACAAUUUUCUUAGCUGACGGCGGCUUUAUAAGAACCCAAGUUUCAUUCUGAUGAAGAGAUUCAAUUUCUUCAUUCAUCGCAAUCAACCACUUUGCAGAAUCAUCACAAGAAACUGCUUCUGAAUAGGUGGAAGGCUCACCAACUGCAUCAGUUUCUUCUGCAACAGAUAAAGCAUAUGCAACUAAAUUUGCAUAUCUUUGUGGUGGUCGAAUGUCUCUCCUUUGUCUAUCUCUGGCUAUGGAAUACUCCUCUUCUUCUGAGCUAUCUUCAACAGUAGAUUCAGGUGUAUCUACUGGCAUUUGUUGAAUAGAAGAUUUGGACUGAGAAGGACCAGAACUGCCAAUAUGAAGCUCCACCUGCUUCUGUGUACUAUUAGUAGUACAAGGACUAGAAGACUCUUUCUUGGAAGAUAACAUAGACAAUUCAUCGAAAGUAACAUCUCUACUGAUCACAAAUUUUGGAGAUUUGGGAUCAGGACACCAUAAUCUGUAUCCUUUCACCCCAGAAGCAUACCCAAGAAAAAUGCACUUUUUAGCACUAGGCUCCAAUUUUCCAUCAUUCACGUGCAUGUAUGCUGGACAUCCAAAAAUUUUUAAAUUGGAGUAAUCAGCAGGAGUACCUGACCAAACUUGCUCAGGAGUUUUGAAAUCAAUAGAUGCAGAAGGAGAACGGUUGACAAUAUAACAGGCCAUAUUGAUCGCCUCUGCCCAAAAGUCAUUUGUCAACCCUGCAUUGGAGAUCAUACAUCUUGCUCUCUCCAAAAGAGUUCUGUUCAUACGUUCAGCCACACCAUUUUGUUGAGGCGUCAUUCUGACGGUGUGAUGCCGAACAAUUCCUUCAUUCUUGCAGAAUUCAUUGAAUUCACCUCCACAAAAUUCCAUGCCAUUAUCUGUUCUCAACCGCUUAAUAUGCUUUCCUGUUUGUUUCUCAAUCAAAACUUUCCAUUGCUUGAAAGUUAGGAAAACAUCAUUUUUAUGCUUAAGAAAAUAGACCCAAACUUUCCUUGAAUAAUCAUCAAUGAAAGUCAACAUGUACCUGGCACCACCUUUAGAAGGAGCACGAGAAGGACCCCAUAGAUCUGAAUGAAUGUAAUCAAGAGUACCUUUUGUCUUGUGAAUUGCUGGUGAACUGAAGCUGACUCUUUUCUGCUUCCCAAAAAUACAAUGUUCACAGAAUUCCAAUGGACCGGUACUUUGUCCACACAGAAGUUCUCUUUUGCUUAGUAUGCCCAAGCCUUUUUCGCUCAUGUGCCCCAAACGCAUAUGCCAUAAUUUUGUGAUGUCUGUAUCUGACAAAGAUGAUGUUGAAACAGCAGCAUCACCUGUCACAGUAGAUCCCUGCAAAAUAUACAAAGUACCAGAUCUGUGUGCCUUCAUAACAACAAGAGCUCCUCGAGUGAUUUUGAGAACUCCGUCUUCACCUGAAUACCUGCACCCGAUAGACUCAAGAGUGCCCAAAGAGAUGAGAUUUUUCUUCAAAUCUGGAACAUGUCUAACAUUUGUGAGCGUCCUCACAAUACCAUCGUACAUUUUAAUCCGGAUUGUGCCUUUGCCAACAACUUUACAAACAGCGUUGUUGCCCAUUAAGAUAACUCCACCUUCAGUUGAUUCAUAUGUUGAAAACCAGUCCCUAUUGGAACACAUAUGAUAUGAACAACCCGAAUCUAAAAUCCACUCAUUGUUAGACCUAAAAUUAUUUUCCGUUGCACAGAAAAUGGUUCCAUCAUUCUCAUCAGCUGCUAUACUAGUUUCAGCGGAUUUAGUAUUUUUCUCAACAAAUUUCCCCUUUUGCUUUUCUUUAUUUCUCAAUUUAAAGCAAUCAGAGAUAACAUGGCCCUUCUUUUUACAAUAAUUGCACACCACAUUUUUAUGUCUGGACUUGGAUCUACUUCUAUUUUCUGUGUUUCUCUUUUCAGAUCUACCCCCAACAAACAAGCCAUCGGCUUGACUCCCACUAGUUUCCCCAGUAAUAUCUCUAUCUAUCUGCUCUUUAGAUUUUAAUGCAGAUUUAAUUUCCCGAUACGAAAUUGUUUCCUUUCCAUAAAUCAUAGUAUCGCGGAAAUGCUUAAAAGACUGGGGAAGGGAACACAAAAAUAAUAGGGCUUGAUAUUCAUCAUCAAUUUUCGAAUCUAUAUUUCCCAAAUCCAUAAUAAUGGAAUCAAAUUUAUCAAGAUGGGAGAGUAUAGAUGUACCUUCAGACAUCCGAAGCAUGUACAAACUCUGCUUCAAAUAUAGCCGAUUCUCGACUGUCUUCUUCAUAUACAAGGCUUUCAAUUUAUCCCACAUAGCCUUGGCCGAAGUCUCCGUUGCUACCUCACGCAAUACCUCAUCGGAGAGAUUUAAGAUUAUGCUGGAUCUGGCCUUCUUAUCCAUAUCUGCGAAAUCCGCAUCCUUUACAUCUUCUGGUUUGUUCUCGAUUCCGUGAAUCGCUAGAUCAACUCCGUCUUGAACAAGAAUGGCCUCCAUCUUGAGCUGCCACAUUCCGAAGUUGACAUUCCUGUCGAAUUUCUCGACAACCGUCUUUGUUAUCGUCAUUGUUGCCACAAAUUCUGUAAUUUGAAGUUUGUCUCAAAAAACUGGCCAAACAAAUAUGCAAGUCUCGUGAGCGGGCCCCACAGGGUGAGCGGGCCCCACGAGAUUAAGCGGGCCCCACGGGAUGAACGGACCCACAAGGUGAGCGGGCCGCACGAAUGAACCGGCCCUUACAGGAUGAGUGGGCCCCACAGGAUGGACGGACCCCACCAGAUGAACCUGUCUUGCAAAAUAUAAUAACCAGCUCUGAUACCAGUUUGUUAGGACCGGGCCAGGAAAUAGACAAAUCCAAAUUAGGACAAAGUAGGCGGUAUAACCGACCAUAUAAUAGUUAGGCGGUAGAUACCAGCCAUAUAAUAAUUAGGCGGUAAAACCGACCAUAUAAAGACGGAUAACAAAGCAAAUAAAAGACACAGAAGAUUUACGUGGUUCGGUCAAAUUGACCUACGUCCACGGGCGAGGGAGGAGUAAUAUUUCUACUAUGAAGAUGAAAUACAAAAGACCGUAGGAAAGUGGUUCCUAGGCCAAUAGGCACUUACAAAAGAGUUUAGAAAAUAUUCCUAAACUCAAAACAAGAGAGCCUAAAAUAUUUGACUGAAUGGGCUAGAUGACUCAAGAAGCUAAUAGCCCAUAUAACUCUCUUGAGUGGUGCGAGUUUAUUCCUUCAUCAGGCUCCCUUAUUUAUAGGAAACCAAAGAAAGAAUUCCUUUGGCUUCUACCGAUGUGGGACGAAGCACCAAAAGCAUUUGGUCAACAAAUGCGGCUUCAACAAAUCUCCACCUUCUCGAUGUUGGGGACUCAUCAAGGUGGAGAUUUGUUGAAGCCGCAUUUGUUGACCAAAUGCUUUUGGUGCUUCGUCCCACAUCGGUAGAAGCUCAAAGGAAUUCUUCCUUUGGUUUCCUAUAAAUAAGGGAGCCUGAUGAAGGAAUAAACUCGCACCACUCAAGAGAGUUAUAUGGGCUAUUAGUUUCUUGAGUCAUCUAGGCCAUUCAGUCAAAUAUUUUAGGCUCUCUUGUUUUGAGUUUAGGAAUAUUUUCUAAACUCUUUUGUAAGUGCCUAUUGGCCUAGGAACCACUUUCCUACGGUCUUUUGUAUUUCUUGUUCAUAGUAGAAAUAUUGCUCCUCCCUCGCCCGUGGACGUAGGUCAAUUUGACCGAACCACGUAAAUCUUCUGUGUCUUUUAUUUGCUUUGUUAUCCGUCUUUAUAUGGUCGGUUUUACCGCCUAAUUAUUAUAUGGCUGGUAUCUACCGCCUAACUAUUAUAUGGUCGGUUAUACCGCCUACUUUGUCCUAAUUUGGAUUUGUCUAUUUCCUGACCCGGUCCUAACAAACUGGUAUCAGAGCUGGUUAUUAUAUUUUGCAAGACAGGUUCAUCUGGUGGGGUCCGUCCAUCCUGUGGGGCCCACUCAUCCUGUAAGGGCCGGUUCAUUCGUGGGGCCCGCUCACCCUGUGGGGCCCGCUCACGAGACUUGCAUAUUUGUUUGGCCAGUUUUUUGAGACAAACUUCAAAUUACAGAAUUUGUGGCAACAAUGACGAUAACAAAGACGAUUGUUGAGAAAUUCGACAGGAAUGUCAACUUCGGAAUGUGGCAGAUCAAGAUGGAGGCCAUUCUUGUUCAAGACGGAGUUGAUCUAGCGAUUCACGGAAUCGAGAACAAACCAGAAGAUGUAAAGGAUGCGGAUUUCGCAGAUAUGGAUAAGAAGGCCAGAUCCAGCAUAAUCUUAAAUCUCUCCGAUGAGGUAUUGCGUGAGGUAGCAACGGAGACUUCGGCCAAGGCUAUGUGGGAUAAAUUGAAAGCCUUGUAUAUGAAGAAGACAGUCGAGAAUCGGCUAUAUUUGAAGCAGAGUUUGUACAUGCUUCGGAUGUCUGAAGGUACAUCUAUACUCUCCCAUCUUGAUAAAUUUGAUUCCAUUAUUAUGGAUUUGGGAAAUAUAGAUUCGAAAAUUGAUGAUGAAUAUCAAGCCCUAUUAUUUUUGUGUUCCCUUCCCCAGUCUUUUAAGCAUUUCCGCGAUACUAUGAUUUAUGGAAAGGAAACAAUUUCGUAUCGGGAAAUUAAAUCUGCAUUAAAAUCUAAAGAGCAGAUAGAUAGAGAUAUUACUGGGGAAACUAGUGGGAGUCAAGCCGAUGGCUUGUUUGUUGGGGGUAGAUCUGAAAAGAGAAACACAGAAAAUAGAAGUAGAUCCAAGUCCAGACAUAAAAAUGUGGUGUGCAAUUAUUGUAAAAAGAAGGGCCAUGUUAUCUCUGAUUGCUUUAAAUUGAGAAAUAAAGAAAAGCAAAAGGGGAAAUUUGUUGAGAAAAAUACUAAAUCCGCUGAAACUAGUAUAGCAGCUGAUGAGAAUGAUGGAACCAUUUUCUGUGCAACGGAAAAUAAUUUUAGGUCUAACAAUGAGUGGAUUUUAGAUUCGGGUUGUUCAUAUCAUAUGUGUUCCAAUAGGGACUGGUUUUCAACAUAUGAAUCAACUGAAGGUGGAGUUAUCUUAAUGGGCAACAACGCUGUUUGUAAAGUUGUUGGCAAAGGCACAAUCCGGAUUAAAAUGUACGAUGGUAUUGUGAGGACGCUCACAAAUGUUAGACAUGUUCCAGAUUUGAAGAAAAAUCUCAUCUCUUUGGGCACUCUUGAGUCUAUCGGGUGCAGGUAUUCAGGUGGAGACGGAGUUCUCAAAAUCACUCGAGGAGCUCUUGUUGUUAUGAAGGCACACAGAUCUGGUACUUUGUAUAUUUUGCAGGGAUCUACUGUGACAGGUGAUGCUGCUGUUUCAACAUCAUCUUUGUCAGAUACAGACAUCACAAAAUUAUGGCAUAUGCGUUUGGGGCACAUGAGCGAAAAAGGCUUGGGCAUACUAAGCAAAAGAGAACUUCUGUGUGGACAAAGUACCGGUCCAUUGGAAUUCUGUGAACAUUGUAUUUUUGGGAAGCAGAAAAGAGUCAGCUUCAGUUCACCAGCAAUUCACAAGACAAAAGGUACUCUUGAUUACAUUCAUUCAGAUCUAUGGGGUCCUUCUCGUGCUCCUUCUAAAGGUGGUGCCAGGUACAUGUUGACUUUCAUUGAUGAUUAUUCAAGGAAAGUUUGGGUCUAUUUUCUUAAGCAUAAAAAUGAUGUUUUCCUAACUUUCAAGCAAUGGAAAGUUUUGAUUGAGAAACAAACAGGAAAGCAUAUUAAGCGGUUGAGAACAGAUAAUGGCAUGGAAUUUUGUGGAGGUGAAUUCAAUGAAUUCUGCAAGAAUGAAGGAAUUGUUCGGCAUCACACCGUCAGAAUGACGCCUCAACAAAAUGGUGUGGCUGAACGUAUGAACAGAACUCUUUUGGAGAGAGCAAGAUGUAUGAUCUCCAAUGCAGGGUUGACAAAUGACUUUUGGGCAGAGGCGAUCAAUAUGGCCUGUUAUAUUGUCAACCGUUCUCCUUCUGCAUCUAUUGAUUUCAAAACUCCUGAGCAAGUUUGGUCAGGUACUCCUGCUGAUUACUCCAAUUUAAAAAUUUUUGGAUGUCCAGCAUACAUGCACGUGAAUGAUGGAAAAUUGGAGCCUAGUGCUAAAAAGUGCAUUUUUCUUGGGUAUGCUUCUGGGGUGAAAGGAUACAGAUUAUGGUGUCCUGAUCCCAAAUCUCCAAAAUUUGUGAUCAGUAGAGAUGUUACUUUCGAUGAAUUGUCUAUGUUAUCUUCCAAGAAAGAGUCUUCUAGUCCUUGUACUACUAAUAGUACACAGAAGCAGGUGGAGCUUCAUAUUGGCAGUUCUGGUCCUUCUCAGUCCAAAUCUUCUAUUCAACAAAUGCCAGUAGAUACACCUGAAUCUACUGUUGAAGAUAGCUCAGAAGAAGAGGAGUAUUCCAUAGCCAGAGAUAGACAAAGGAGAGACAUUCGACCACCACAAAGAUAUGCAAAUUUAGUUGCAUAUGCUUUAUCUGUUGCAGAAGAAACUGAUGCAGUUGGUGAGCCUUCCACCUAUUCAGAAGCAGUUUCUUGUGAUGAUUCUGCAAAGUGGUUGAUUGCGAUGAAUGAAGAAAUUGAAUCUCUUCAUCAGAAUGAAACUUGGGUUCUUAUAAAGCCGCCGUCAGCUAAGAAAAUUGUUGGUUGCAAGUGGGUUUUCAAGAAAAAGGAAGGUAUUCCAGGGGUUGAAGAUGCAAGAUAUAAAGCACGAUUGGUUGCAAAGGGCUAUAGUCAGGUACAAGGUGUUGAUUUUAAUGAUAUAUUCUCACCUGUUGUUAAACAUAGCUCUAUUCGUGUUUUGCUUGCUUUAGUUGCCAUGUAUAAUUUGGAAUUAGAACAACUCGACGUUAAGACAGCUUUCUUACAUGGCGAACUUGAAGAACAAAUUUAUAUGAAACAACCCCAGGGUUUUAAAAUUGAAGGUAAGGAAGACCAUGUUUGCUUAUUGAAGAAAUCCUUAUAUGGAUUAAAGCAGUCUCCAAGACAAUGGUAUAAAAGAUUUGAUUCCUUUAUGUUGGGUCAUGGUUAUUUUAGGAGCAUGUAUGAUAGUUGUGUUUACUUCCGGAAGUUAAAUGAUGGUUCUUUCAUUUAUUUGCUGCUUUAUGUUGAUGACAUGCUCAUUGCUGCCAAGAAUUUGUCAGAAAUUCACACUUUGAAACUGCAGUUAAAUAGUGAAUUUGAAAUGAAAGAUUUGGGAGCAGCUAAGAAAAUUCUUGGCAUGGAUAUCAAGCGAGAUCGAGGAGUAGGGAAAUUGUUCUUGACCCAGAAAAAUUACCUUGAGAAAGUUUUGGAGCGUUUUGGCAUGAAAGAUGCUAAACCAGUAUCUACUCCUCUUGCUAGCCAUUUUCGGCUAUCUGCUGCUCAAUCACCAAAAUCAGAUGAAGAGGAAGAUUAUAUGACACGGGUUCCUUAUUCCAGUGCAGUCGGCAGUGUUAUGUAUGCAAUGGUUUGUACUCGUCCAGAUAUUGCACAAGCAGUCAGUGUUGUUAGCAGAUAUAUGUUUUGCCCUGGUAAAGCACAUUGGCAAGCUGUGAAGUGGAUUCUCAAAUACUUGCGAGGUACUUCAAAUACAUGUUUGGAGUUUGGAAGAAAUAAUAACACUUUGGUUGGUUUUGUAGACUCAAACUACGCUGGGGAUCUUGACAGGAGAAGAUCACUUUCAGACUAUGUAUUUUGCAUUGGCGGUUGUGCUGUUAGUUGGAAAGCUACUCUACAACCUGUCGUAACUUUGUCUACUACUGAAGCAGAAUAUAUGGCUGUGACCGAGGCAAUCAAAGAAGCCUUGUGGUUGAAGAGUUUAUUUAACGAGCUAAGUCUAUAUCAAGGUGUUAUUGAUAUUCACUGUGAUAGUCAAAGUGCCAUACACUUGACUAAAGAUCAGAUGUAUCAUGAGAGGACGAAACACAUUGAUGUGAAAUAUCACUUCAUUCGGGAUAUCAUUGCUGAGGGAAAAGUCCUUAUUCAGAAAAUCAAUACUAAGGACAAUCCAGCCGAUAUGUUUACGAAACCUCUUCCAAAUUACAAGUUCAAGCAGUGCUUGGACUUGGUUGGUGUUCGUUAUUGGUGAUUUAAACCCAUUGGGGCUUAUAUGAAGAAGGUGGAGCAAGUUUAUAAUCUCUCGAUGUUGGGGACUCAUCAAGGUGGAGAUUUGUUGAAGCCGCAUUUGUUGACCAAAUGCUUUUGGUGUUUCGUCCCACAUCGGUAGAAGCCAAAGGAAUUCUUCUUUUGGUUUCCUAUAAAUAAGGGAGCCUGAUGAAGGAAUAAACUUGCACCACUCAAGAGAGUUAUAUGGGCUAUUAGCUUCUUGAGUCAUCUAGCCCAUUCAGUCAAAUAUUUUAGGCUCUCUUGUUUUGAGUUUAGGAAUAUUUUCUAAACUCUUUUGUAAGUGCCUAUUGGCCUAGGAACCACUUUCCUACGGUUUUUUGUAUUUCUUCUUCAUAGUAGAAAUAUUGCUCCUCCCUCGCCCGUGGACGUAGGUCAAUUUGACCGAACCAUGUAAAUCUUCUGUGUCUUUUAUUUGCUUUGUUAUCCGUCUUUAUAUGGUCGGUUUUACCGCCUAAUUAUUAUAUGGCUGGUAUCUACCACCUAUCUAUUAUAUGGUCGGUUAUACCGCCUACUUUGUCCUAACUUGGAUUUGUCUAUUUCCUGGCCCGGUCCUAACAGUUCGGUUUAUUGGUCUCCAAUCUCAAGGCACUGAAUGGAUAGAACACUAAAUUAUAAGAAAAAAUUGUCAGUUAACCAUUAUUCUGUAUUAUUAGGAUGUUGGCAUCAUUAGGUCAUAUUUUUUAGCCCCAUAUGAAGACAUUCAUAGUUUUGAGCAAACUUAGGCAGAAAUAAUACUUUUCUUCAUUCCAAUUGUUUGAAAUUUUUUUGUAAGCUUAGCCUUCUUCUCUUGAUGAUUUUAUAUCGUAAAUAGACUUCUCUACAUUGACAUGGCUGUGCUGCUGGAAGCAUUUGUUCGGGGUUUAAUUAAGAGCCUUUUAGCAUGUUUUAUGCUCACAGCUCCAACAUCAACUUUUUGUUGCUUCUUGUAUAAUGCUUGCAACUGAGAUGUUGAUUAGUGGAUUUUUGAUCUACUACUUCUUAGCAUUCACACUCUUCAGUGAACUGUAAGAGAAAGGAAGAACUAUGUUUGGGCCUCUUCCUGAGAGACCAUGCACUCUUAAAUGCUUGAUUACAUAGAAUUAGUCCUCUCUUGCUUGCAGUACUGGGAUGUACCAUCCUUCUGAUUGCCAUGGUUAAUUCUGCUUUCUAAACUCAUACUGUUACCUGAUUUUUUUACUAAAACUUUGCUGAGCUAGUUCCUUUAUUGACCUGGCUACAUGAUUUUGCUUACUCUUUUGCAGGAAAUUCUAUCUCAUUCAACAACUUUGUCAUUAGUGCUACUAGAUGAAGUAUGUGCUGUGAAGAAGUUCCUAGUUUCAUUUUUUAUUUUUGUUGGGACAAUUUUACAGUUCAUUUGUUUGACUCGUUUAUGUGAUUUAAUUUAUAGAGACCCUGCUUGUUUAGAGAUAGCACCAUGCAUUACCUCCUUUUAUAGGUGGGCGCAGGAACAAAUCCCCAAGAAGGCGCUGCAUUGGGAAUGGCAUUGCUUGAAUCUUUUGCAGAGGCUGGUCCAUUACUAACAAUGGCAACAACACAUCAUGGAGAACUUAAAACCCUUAAAUACAGGUAGUUUGCGAGAAGGUACAAUUUCUUGUCUAACUGCAUGCCAAUCUCGAACUGAUGGCUUCCUGUUGGAAAACACGACUGACAGCAAUAAAGCCUUCGAAAAUGCAUGCAUGGAGUUUGACGAGAUGAACUUGAAGCCCACCUUUAGGAUUCUUUGGGGAGUACCAGGUUCUCUUUUCAAUUUGGUGGUAACCGGUUCUUCAUUAGUUGCAGUUCCUUUGCCGAAAUAUUCAUAUUAUAAACAAGAAUCAUUUGUGUGAUUGAGGUGUUUUUAGCAUUUGUAUAAACCUAUUUACAUGGGUUUUUCUUCCUUGUACAUCUCACCUUUCCAGGCCGUUCAAAUGCAAUCAGCAUUGCUGAAAGGCUUGGAAUUCCAAAUGCAAUUUUGGAUAAUGCUCGUGAACUUUAUGGAGUGGCUAGUGCAGAAAUUAACGAGGUAAUAUUUGUUUGAUAUUGGAAUAUGUACGCCUAUCAGGACUGUUAAUUUGCAAAUAUGCAUCCUAUUGCAGAAUGGUUGACUAUCUUUUACAAUCAACUUCACAAGAACACUCAAACAUAAGAAUUACCUAGAUUAAAUCUGUUUCUGUCCUUAUAGAUUGUUAAUUAGUGUAAUUUUGAUAGAUGCCAUCACCUUUUGACAUGAUAUUACUGACACUUUUGAACUAUAUAUGUGCCAAAUUGUAGAAGCAACAAUAAACCUAGUCAUUCUUUUCAAGGGUACCAAAUUACACUAUAUAUUAAUUAGAUUGGUAUUUACUGCUUUCUGCGGGUGUUGUCUUUAGAUGCAUAUAUGCAGUAAAUGGUUGUGAUGCUUUCUUUACAAGUUUUGAUAUAUUUUCAUUAUUUUCUUAAGAAAUCUUCCCUUUGUUAUGACCUGUUGCAGAUUAUAGUAGAAAUGGAGAGAUUUAAGCAUAAUUUCCAUAAGCAAAUCCAGGAAGCUCAACAUUAUCUGAUGUGAGAAUCUUUCAAUUAACUAGAUAUGUCUUUGUUUGAUUGCCUUAGCUGUCUCCCAGAACUACAGAAAUGCCUUAUUGUCCUGAUGCGUUGAGAAGAAAAUACUUAACACUUACACAGUGUAGAGUUUAUAGAAAGAAAUGCUCAAAUACCUUUGGAUUCAUCCUAUUUGCUGGAAGUAUUGUGUACAUAAAUCUGAAGUAAAGUGGAGUGGGCUUUAGUAUCAGUAGUGAUUAAUUACAGGGGUAGAAAUGAAUGCCACAUGUAAUAUCCUACUACGAGGUGAAUUUUUUUAGUACAGUGCCAUCUCUUUGAAAAGAUAGAUUAUUGUUGGUUAAGUGAGUCAUGUUCAUAUGAUUUCCUUUACCAACAUAACUUUCAACAUCUUUAUGUGCUUGUGGAUACCUGAAUGAUGGAAGGGAUACCCUAAUGACAGUAUAAUUGGUUAAAGAUGACAAAGGAAAUAUCAAAAAAAUUAAUGUAGAUACUUAAUUUGCUGAUUAAUGUAUUGAGAAUAAAAGUUCCACAGAUGGUUGACGCUCCAGAUUCUUUUCAUAAUUAUUUGUCUCAGAUUGUCGAAAAAACUCCAUAGCGAUCUAGUGUUGACCAGCAAAAAUGUCAAGGAACACCAAAGGAAUCAAAGAUACAAGAUGACACAAAAAAUAUCUGAGACUGCAGGUUCAGCACGUUCAAGGCUUCAUGAGAAAGUACGACAGCUUCGAACAUCUCAUAACAAUUGGCAACAUAGGUCAAUGGUUAAAAAGAGCGAGGACACUUUGACUUCUGUUGAUCUGCAAAGUGAAGCAGGAAGAAGUGAGACCUCCAAUGCCUCUGAGACUCUAACUUCAAAUAAUACGAGGCAGCAACCAGUCCCAGGUAUAUAGCCUAUUGGUUUCAAUUGCUGUUCUUUCUGUUCCAGGCAAUCUGAUUUUAGGAGUUGUAGGGUUGACAUCUAUGCUGACUAUAUGAGGGUAAGGUAAUUAAAGUUUUCCUUGCAUGUAUAGCAGAUAAAAGAGCUGAAAUUCCAAAAGAAGGUGAUACAGUGGUAGUUCCUUCUCUCAACAAGAAAGCAGUAGUUUUGAAGGUGGAGCCAUCCAAGGAAGAAAUAGUUGUUCAAGCUGGCAAUAUGAAGCUGAAGUUAAGGCUGGUGGAUGUAAUCUGAGUAAAACUUUUCUGCCUGCUUUGGCUUCAAAAGCAACCAGUAGUAGCAGUUAUCUGAGAUGUGGCUUUGAGGAUGCACAAAUACAACCACUGGGGCUGCUUGUGGGAGCUUCUGAUUCCAGUCAUU